Molecule: ribosomal RNA, 492 nt
Filed under: uncultured bacterium
Lineage: Bacteria
Description: partial 16S ribosomal RNA
Rfam family: Bacterial small subunit ribosomal RNA
Source: RNAcentral
AGUGAACGCUGGCGGUAGGCCUAACACAUGCAAGUCGAACGGCAGCACAGUAAGAGCUUGCUCUUACGGGUGGCGAGUGGCGGACGGGUGAGGAAUACAUCGGAAUCUACUUUUUCGUGGGGGAUAACGUAGGGAAACUUACGCUAAUACCGCAUACGACCUACGGGUGAAAGCAGGGGAUCUUCGGACCUUGCGCGAUUGAAUGAGCCGAUGUCGGAUUAGCUAGUUGGCGGGGUAAAGGCCCACCAAGGCGACGAUCCGUAGCUGGUCUGAGAGGAUGAUCAGCCACACUGGAACUGAGAAACGGUCCAGACUCCUACGGGAGGCAGCAGUGGGGAAUAUUGGACAAUGGGCGCAAGCCUGAUCCAGCCAUACCGCGUGGGUGAAGAAGGCCUUCGGGUUGUAAAGCCCUUUUGUUGGGGAAGAAAAGCAGCAGGUUAAUACCCCGCUGUUCUGACGGUACCCAAAGAAUAAGCACCGGCUAACUUCGUG